AUUUCAUGCAGAGUGGCUGAGGGACGAGCCCUGAGACGCCACGGCAACCGACCCGGGAUCAUAUAUCCCUGAUGCUGGUGCCAACUCUCUCCUGGAAACAGGGAACAUGAGAU
This 113-nucleotide non-coding RNA is filed under the name Candidatus Sulfotelmatobacter kueseliae. Its description in RNAcentral is "SAM". It matches the Rfam family "SAM riboswitch aptamer (S box leader)". Rfam says of the family: The SAM riboswitch is found upstream of a number of genes which code for proteins involved in methionine or cysteine biosynthesis in Gram-positive bacteria. The SAM riboswitch acts at the level of transcription termination control. The record is from RNAcentral. Lineage: Bacteria; Pseudomonadati; Acidobacteriota; Terriglobia; Terriglobales; Candidatus Korobacteraceae.